CUAGUAUUUUAAAUAGAGACUAUGCAUCUUAAUUUUUGAAUCAUCAAUUGAUCAUAAUUAAUAAAAAAAAAGAGACUUAAACCAAACUUUUGCUAAUUUUUCAUAUUUUUCUAAACUUCUUUUAAGAGAUUUGGGUCAAGCAGGUUAAGAAAAAAAAAUUUUCUGACAUAUAAGUAAUGCAAGUAUAUGAGAGAAGAGCUUUUAGUUCUCAAAGUAUACUAAAGAAUAAAGGGAAAUAUGGCUAUUAUUCUAUCUUGAUGGAUGAUGAGAUGAAGAAACAUCUUACAUAACUAUAGAAAAAGAUUGCGCAAUUCACCAAGAUCAUAUCUUGAUUGGUGUCACCUUCAACAUAAGCACCAACAACUCCCGAAGCUAUCUCCGACAUAUAGAAACGAGAAUCUACCAUGUAGCAAAGAAGAGCAAGAUCAAAAAUUAUCUCCUAGAAAAGUUAAGUAGUUCAACCGC
RNAcentral lists this long non-coding RNA (465 nucleotides) under Elaeis guineensis (African oil palm). RNAcentral describes it as "long non-coding RNA (EGUI_LNC013807)". Lineage: Eukaryota; Viridiplantae; Streptophyta; Magnoliopsida; Arecales; Arecaceae. The record is from RNAcentral.